GUCUACAGCCAUGUCACCCUGAACAUGUGCAAUCUUGGCUGUUCUCUGAAGCUAAGCAGGGUCGGGCCUGGUUAGUUUUUGGAUGGGAGAUCGCCUAGGAAUAUCAGGUGCUGUAGGCU
RNAcentral lists this ribosomal RNA (119 nucleotides) under Pteropus alecto (black flying fox). Lineage: Eukaryota; Metazoa; Chordata; Mammalia; Chiroptera; Pteropodidae. The record is from RNAcentral.